GUCCAUCGCCAACCAGAGGAGGAGACACCUGAGCCAAUGAUUUAUGCAGGCCCAGACAGGGCCAAGAAAAGUGGCCUGGCCCAGGCACUGGCACCCAGCAGCCCACUUAUACUAGAGAACAGUUGCAGGUCGCCCUCCAGGCCCUGAGGGUUUUGCUUCACAUGCUAGUGGAGCAUUUAUUUAAUGCCAUUUUUAGAAU
Molecule: long non-coding RNA, 199 nt
Organism: Pseudophryne corroboree (corroboree frog)
Lineage: Eukaryota; Metazoa; Chordata; Amphibia; Anura; Myobatrachidae
Exons: 3
Source: RefSeq, a predicted model, not a curated record